GGGUUGUGAGGUUAAGCGACUAAGCGUACACGGUGGAUGCCCUGGCAGUCAGAGGCGAUGAAGGACGUGCUAAUCUGCGAUAAGCGUCGGUAAGGUGAUAUGAACCGUUAUAACCGGCGAUUUCCGAAUGGGGAAACCCAGUGUGUUUCGACACACUAUCAUUAACUGAAUCCAUAGGUUAAUGAGGCGAACCGGGGGAACUGAAACAUCUAAGUACCCCGAGGAAAAGA
Molecule: ribosomal RNA, 230 nt
Filed under: Escherichia coli
Lineage: Bacteria; Pseudomonadati; Pseudomonadota; Gammaproteobacteria; Enterobacterales; Enterobacteriaceae
Description: partial 23S ribosomal RNA
Rfam family: Bacterial large subunit ribosomal RNA
Source: RNAcentral